GACGUAGGGCGCGAGCGUUGUUCGGAAUCAUUGGGCGUAAAGCGCGUGUAGGCGGUCAAGUAAGUCUUGUGUGAAAUCCCUGGGCUCAACCGAGGAAGUGCAUGGGAAACUACUUGGCUUGCAGACGGUAGAGGAAGGUGGAAUUCCAAGUGUAGAGGUGAAAUUCGUAGAUAUUUGGAGGAAUACCGGUGGCGAAGGCGGCCUUCUGGACCGAUCUGGACGCUGAGACGCGAAAGCGUGGGGAGCAAACAGG
This 253-nucleotide ribosomal RNA is filed under the name uncultured bacterium. RNAcentral's name for it is "partial 16S ribosomal RNA". It matches the Rfam family "Bacterial small subunit ribosomal RNA", at positions 524 to 776 of the family's 1533-position model. The record is from RNAcentral.